GCCUAUGACCAAAUAAUCCUGAAUGCAUCCAAUUUGAUCAGAUCUCAGACGCUAAACACUGUGGAAUCUGGUUGGUAUUAUGGGGAGGAGACUGCGAGGGAAUUCCAGGUGUUGUAGGAU
This 120-nucleotide ribosomal RNA is filed under the name Petromyzon marinus (sea lamprey). The record is from RNAcentral. Lineage: Eukaryota; Metazoa; Chordata; Hyperoartia; Petromyzontiformes; Petromyzontidae.